This is a long non-coding RNA of Melozone crissalis (California towhee), 1069 nucleotides long. RefSeq lists it as uncharacterized. The transcript has 3 exons. The record is from RefSeq and is a predicted model, not a curated record. Lineage: Eukaryota; Metazoa; Chordata; Aves; Passeriformes; Passerellidae.
UAGAAUAGGGCACAGGCUCUCAGGCUGACUGGGACCAGGAUCUGCAUGCUGGUUUUCCAUAUCCCUUUCUGCAGGUUUUCAUGGCAUUUCUAUAACCCCAAAGCAGGAGAGGAGUCUCAUAAGUACAACAGGUUUUCUAUGGUUGGAAUGCCAUGAAUGGGAAGUAAGGCAUGGGUCAGGGGGUUGUUUCAGAUCUUUGUACAGCCAGGAAUGAAACCCUGCUGCUCUCUACUUUCUGAGCCAAACCCUUGACCUAGACCUGCCCUGACUCCUGUUUCAAUGCAGAUGGUUUCAGCCCUCUGUGUCUGCUAAGGCCCUUGAUACUUCCCAUUGGAUAUCUGAAACCCUAUAUAUUUUGUAUAUAUUUCAUAUGUGUGUAAAAUUCAAGCUGUGUGGCAACCUCUGCCAUUGGAUAUCCCACCAUGCCUGGUCUGUAGGUGAGAUCUCAGCUUGUGGUCAGGAGUGUCUAGAGGGAGAGAUGGAGACAAUAUUUUUGCUUAUAAAAUUGCUCAUAAAUGGAAAGAAAUUUGCAUCAAGCUGAACCACUUGCAUCAAUCCCCCAAAAGCUUGAAGUACUGUUUUGCUGUCUAAAUUUUAGCUGUUAAUGCUGCCUUUGCUGUCAACCAGGUCAAAAAUCCUGCAUAAUUCCCCGUAUCUAUCUCACUUCCCAGCAGAGAGAAAUGAAACCCCUUCCUGGACCUUGGAUGAGUGUGAGGGAAAGACCCACUUUCUGAAGCCUCUAGGGAGGAACGUGGCCUCAACAGAGGGAGAAGGAGGUACUUAGCACUUACGAAAUGCAAGCUCAGGGCAGGCUGUGAGGAACAUCUACACUUAGAGAAGUCUUUCUGGAAAGCCAGUGGAAAUCAUUUGCUCAAAUAUUAGUGAUUUGUGAGAUAAUCUAUUAUAGAUUAAUCAUUUCAGUCUUAUGGUACAAUGUCAAAAAUAAAUUGGGGUUAUGAAGCUGGAGGGGAGCCACUUGGGGGUCGUGUGUUCUCACUGACACUCCUUAUUUGACUUUGAAAACAGCGUCAUGACGAGAUUUUUGAAGCUGAUUGUUACCCCAUGGAAU